RNAcentral lists this ribosomal RNA (108 nucleotides) under uncultured bacterium. RNAcentral describes it as "partial 16S ribosomal RNA". It matches the Rfam family "Bacterial small subunit ribosomal RNA", at positions 1373 to 1482 of the family's 1533-position model. The record is from RNAcentral.
CCCGGGCCUUGUACACACCGCCCGUCACACCAUGGGAGUUGGUUUUACCCGAAGACGGCGCGCUAACCGCAAGGAGGCAGCCGGCCACGGUAGGUCAGCGACUGGGUG